This 1012-nucleotide long non-coding RNA is filed under the name Physcomitrium patens. RNAcentral describes it as "long non-coding RNA (PPAT_LNC009287)". The record is from RNAcentral. Lineage: Eukaryota; Viridiplantae; Streptophyta; Bryopsida; Funariales; Funariaceae.
UGGAUGACUUGGAUUUUAUGAAAUAAAAUAGGGUUUACAUUUUGGGUGAUUUCAAGAGUUUUGUAAGAAAUCUAUAAGUGAAAUUUUGUGGGUUAAUGGUUAUAAUUUUGUUAAAUAUGUGUUAUAAAUUUGAGCUCGAUCUAAUGGUUGAAUUGAGGAUUAUUGAGGUUUAAGUGAGUCAAGGUCUUAGAAAGUAGAAUUUUAGGUCUAGUAAGGUUUUUUAAGAUUUCUUGCAAACUACUAGUUGGAUUGAAGUAAAACUUAUGUGAGAGGAUAUUAGACUUACUUUUAUAUAUGUAUGAGAAUUUUAAAAUCAAUCAAGUGGUAAAAAGAAGAGAUAUUGGCUCUGGAAGAUUGGCAUCGAGGUUAGAGAAGGAGGCCAACCAAUACUUGAGCACGUUUUUGAGGUUAUCGUCUAUUUGAUAAUUUCGAUCAUUUUAAAUUUCUUUUUUUGCUUGUUUUCAACUUAGUUUUUAAGAAGUGUAUAAAAUUUGAGUUAAGAUCAACGGUUCAUUCAUUAAUUAUUGAGGUUUAAAACUGUUGUGGAAAUUACUAGGAUUUAGUUAGGAUUUGGUUUAGGAUUUAGGGUUUGGUUAGGAUUUACUUUAGGAUUUGGUUAGGAUUUGCUUUAGGGUUUAAGAUUUGAUUUAGGAUUUGUUUAGGAUUUGGUUUAGGAUUUAGGGUUUGGUUAGGAUUUGAUUUAGGAUUUGUUAAGAGUUUGGUUUAAGAUUUAGGAUUUGUUUAGGAUUUGGUUUAGAGUUUAGGAUUUAUGAUUUGAUUAGGAUUUAGUUUAGGGUUUAAGAUUUUAUUAGGGUUUGUUUAGGAUUUAAGAUUUAGUUAGUUUUUGGCUUAAAAUUUGAAUGAAGUUUAAUAGGAUUUUAACUAGGAUUAAAUUAAGAUUAAAUUAAGAUCAAAUAUAUUUGAGAUAUAUUUGGUAUCAUUCUAAUAUUUCUUUAAGAUUUUUUAUUAUUUCUUUGAAAUUUCUUUGAGAUUUUUUUGAAUUUGAUUAAAG